Molecule: long non-coding RNA, 2755 nt
Organism: Triticum dicoccoides
Lineage: Eukaryota; Viridiplantae; Streptophyta; Magnoliopsida; Poales; Poaceae
Exons: 4
Source: RefSeq, a predicted model, not a curated record
CCAACCGGCUGCCUGCUGCCCCUUCCCCCGACUUGGACGAACCCUAGGUCCCUGCCCGCCGCCGCCGCCUGCCGUCGUGCCUACCCAACCCUACCGCUUGCAUAGCGAGAAACGAGAAGCCGAGCACCACAGCGGCGGCGCGCUCACCACCGGCUCUCCGUCGCUGCAUCGCCACUCCUCCGCCGUCCGAGCGCGACCAGGUCACUUCCUCUUCUGGUCCCCUUCCUCUGGCACGGCGGCACCCACAGUCCCUCGCGGCUCCCCGACAUUCUCCGUCCCCGCACAGCCAAAAACUGCAGGAACGCAAGAUGAGUAAAAGAAACAAGACAUAAGUUACCGCACACGCAAAGGCCUUUUGCCUCGUCCUACAACGUUUAGCUUCUUGUGCGAUUGAAGAUAUAGUCAUGGGAGGCUUAGAUCAACCAAUCCUUUGAUUUGGUGAGAAACUCGCUAUUGACAAUCCACGUCUUGGAAGCCAUGUGCCGAGCGCCGCAGCGAUGAGAUCUCAGGCAAGUGCUGACACUGAUCCCUCGAGUAGAAACAUGAUGAAAGAUGUUUCAUAAAUGUGACUGGAUCUUCUCAGUGUACCUUUUUUUUCUGUUGUUUCUUCAUGUAUCUUAAAUUCUUGAUACUACUACAAAGCCAAUAUGUUGCCAGGGUAGUUGAUAAAAUUUUCUUAAGACCAUAAGUAAAUUGAACAGUUGAUCUGCUAGAUACUCCUUCCGUUCCUAAAUAUUUGUCUUUCUAUACAUUUCAAAUGGCUACAACAUACGGAUGUAUGUAGACAUAUUUUAGAGUAUAGAUUCACUCAUUUUGCUUCGUAUGUAGUCACUUGUUGAAAUCUCUAGAAAGACAAAUAUUUAGGAACGGAGGGAGUAUAUUAUAUUUGGAAAGAAGAUAUUCCAAACGUAAGUUGGGUGGCUGGAGAAAUAAAACGUGACUGACUGACUUUGGGAUGAGGAUAAAAUUAUUAUAUCAUUUCUAAGAGCACAAGUGGAAAAAUAACCCAGAAACAAUAUACUCUGUCUACAUUUCUUCUUUAACAGCUGCUCCUUUUACAUGAACCUCUAAACCAAAGCCGGAUACAGAAGCAAUCAAAACUGGGGGCUGGUGAUAUCAUUUUUUCUUUAACAGAAGCCAGGAUGCACUGCUGGUGGAGAUAAGUGCAAAUGCGGCAGCAGCAACACCUUCACCGGACAAAAAGAAAGUUGGGAGGACGGGAAAAAUGCAGAGGGGUAGAAACUACUACUGAUGACAUGGAAGGAACCUCUAAAGCUGCUGAUAGCAAGAGGACGGGGCCUUCUGAAUUAGCUGAUGGUGACUCGUAGUUGCAAGAGUUCUCCCAGGUAAGUGAUACCCUCGUGCAUGUGUUUUUUGGUUACCUGGGCUAUUGGUAAGUUUGGACCUUAUUUAAUUCGUGAAAGUGUAGCGACACCAUUUUCCAUGCUGGUUUGUUUUGGUAAGCCUUUUUCAUGUAUACAUGGAAUUGUUGGUCUGCCACUUUCUUACAUAUAUCUUUCAGCCUGGUUGCUCUUUAACAAAACAAGCAAACCAAAAUGAACAAUAUGAUUACAACGUAUCCCCGCUGCUGCUUGUAUGGUAGUAUUUAGUAUAUCAUUAUUUGAUAUUGCAAUUAAUUUAAUCCUUGUUAGGACUGUUGUCCUAUGAAUGUGUGCCCUGCACAAGAAAUAGCCAGGUGCAUUUGGCUGCCAUAAUUCUUCUUUGUUUCCAAACAUGGUGGCUCUUUGGUAGAGGCAUUUGAAGAUUUCAUUUAUGCAUCAUGAAAGCAAUCUAUUUCUUAUUGCCUAUUAUCUGUACCGAUUAGUUGUAUUUACUAUCUAAAUUGUUGUGUAUGCUGUUAUACCAAGUCAAUUUAUAUGUGACCUUGCUUUUACUGACUAUAUAUAUAUAUAAGAUUUCCUUGGACUACCAACUAAUGUGUGGUUAUGUUUAGGCAAGCUUAAUUAUUUCAUAUGGCCAUAUAUUUAUCAAAAUUCCUACUAUAUCAUUGUACAAAUAGACGGGCGCAACAACGCGUGCCAUCAAUGAUCUAGUAGCCGUGGUAAAAGGAACAUGCAGAGGAGCAUUUAGGCUGGCUUUCAUGUCGUGUCUGGCUUCUUAGCAGAGUUGUACUCCCUCCGUUCGGAAUUACUUGUCACAGAAAUGGAUGUAUCUAGACGUAUUUUAGUUCUAGAUAUAUCCAUUUCCGAGACAAGUAAUUCCGAACGGAGGGAGUAUUAGGUUAGCUUCUUUAUAUACGGAUACGCACGAAUCGAAUCCAGCACACCAGUUUUUCCGUCUUUGCCUUGUCUUAACUUCAUGGCGGCGGCAGAUUGACGAUGUAAGGCGUCGACAGUGAAGCCACCCUGGUCGUUGGUACGACGCUCUACUUGAGAGCCACAUUGAUGCACACCUCCGCCCAUUUGAUCGCAAAGACACCAUAGACAACGACUUGUUUUUGGUCACUCAGAGCAAAAACAACCAAAUCAUCAACUGCCAUGAAGGCUUCAAAGUCCGGCAUCAUUGUUGAUUACAUGUCAAGUGGCAUGUUGCUUGAUUGGUUAUCUACACAUGCUAAUUUGGAUAUCCCUAAUAGUUAUCUACAUAUGUUGGGAUGGUUUAAUGAUGAGUGUUACAACUCGAUGAUAUGAAUAUACACUGCAGUAUAGGUGCAAACUAAGUUGCAAUGUAAUCCGUUGAUAUAUUGUUUGUGAUGAUUCCUAACUUUUAAUCUCACAAGAUAUUGAUUGUGCAA